CCCCCACCUCCCUACGGCCCCCAUGGCCCCCACCUCCCUACGGCCAGAGAGGGGGUCAGCGGUGAGGGGACAGCGUCAGACCGUACAGAAGGUACUGCUGCUCUUCUCCAGAGGCUAACACAACGUGUCUCUGGGCGUGUGUCUGAGUCUCACUGGGCAGUGUGUGACGGCACAGCCUUAUCAGUGGUUUCUGACCCCCAGACUGACAGCGAGGAGGUUUUAACCCAGUCACACAGUAUAGUGGAGAGGGAAGGGUCUCUCAGUCACCCUCAGACUGACAGCGAGGAGGUUUUAACCCAGUCACACAGUAUAGUGGAGAGGGAAGAGUCUCUCAGUCACCCUCACACUGACAGCGAGGAGGUUUUAACCCAGUCACACAGUAUAGUGGAGAGGGAAGAGUCUCUCAGUCACCCUCACACUGACAGCGAGGAGGUUUUAACCCAGUCACACAGUAUAGUGGAGAGGGAAGAGUCUCUCAGUCACCCCCAGACUGACAGCGAGGAGGUUUUAACCCAGUCACACAGUAUAGUGGAGAGGGAAGGGUCUCUCAGUCACCCUCAGACUGACAGCGAGGAGGUUUUAACCCAGUCACACAGUAUAGUGGAGAGGGAAGAGUCUCUCAGUCACCCUCACACUGACA
Long non-coding RNA from Oncorhynchus tshawytscha (Chinook salmon), 640 nucleotides. The record is from Ensembl. NCBI's taxonomy places the organism in Eukaryota, Metazoa, Chordata, Actinopteri, Salmoniformes, Salmonidae.